UACGGAAGGCAGCAGUGGGGAAUAUUGCACAAUGGGCGAAAGCCUGAUGCAGCUAUGCCGCGUGUAUGAAGAAGGCCUUAGGGUUGUAAAGUACUUUCAUCGGGGAGGAAAAAACAAAACUAAUAAUUUUAUUUCUUGACGUUACCCGAAAAAGAAGCACCGGCUAACUCCGUGCCAGCAGCCGCGGUAAUACGGAGGGUGCUAGCGUUAAUCAGAAUUACUGGGCGUAAAGAGCACGUAGGUGGUUUUUUUAAGUCAGAUGUGAAAUCCCUGGGCUUAACCUGGAACUGCAUUUUGAAACUGAAAUACUAGAGUAUCGUAGAGGGAGGUAGAAUUCUAGGUGUAGCGGUGAAAUGCGUAGAUAUCUGGAGGAAUACCUGUGGCGAAAGCGGCCUCCUAAACGAAUACUGACACUGAGGGUGCGAAAGCGUGGGGAGCAAACGAGGGAUUUAGAUACC
RNAcentral lists this ribosomal RNA (458 nucleotides) under uncultured bacterium. Its description in RNAcentral is "bacterial SSU rRNA". It matches the Rfam family "Bacterial small subunit ribosomal RNA", at positions 340 to 786 of the family's 1533-position model. The record is from RNAcentral.